This 903-nucleotide ribosomal RNA is filed under the name Halalkalibacter okhensis. RNAcentral describes it as "bacterial SSU rRNA". It matches the Rfam family "Bacterial small subunit ribosomal RNA", at positions 56 to 934 of the family's 1533-position model. The record is from RNAcentral. Lineage: Bacteria; Bacillati; Bacillota; Bacilli; Caryophanales; Bacillaceae.
UGCAGUCGAGCGGACUGAUUAAGAGCUUGCUCUUAUGACGUUAGCGGCGGACGGGUGAGUAACACGUGGGCAACCUGCCCUGUAGAUCGGGAUAACACCGAGAAAUCGGUGCUAAUACCGGGUAAUAUCUAAGAUCGCAUGAUCUUGGAGUAAAAGAUGGCUCCGGCUAUCACUACAGGAUGGGCCCGCGGCGCAUUAGCUAGUUGGUAAGGUAACGGCUUACCAAGGCGACGAUGCGUAGCCGACCUGAGAGGGUGAUCGGCCACACUGGGACUGAGACACGGCCCAGACUCCUACGGGAGGCAGCAGUAGGGAAUCUUCCGCAAUGGACGAAAGUCUGACGGAGCAACGCCGCGUGAGUGAUGAAGGGUUUCGGCUCGUAAAGCUCUGUUGUUAGGGAAGAACAAGUAUCGUUCGAAUAGGGCGGUACCUUGACGGUACCUAACCAGAAAGCCACGGCUAACUACGUGCCAGCAGCCGCGGUAAUACGUAGGUGGCAAGCGUUGUCCGGAAUUAUUGGGCGUAAAGCGCGCGCAGGCGGUCUUUUAAGUCUGAUGUGAAAGCCCCCGGCUCAACCGGGGAGGGUCAUUGGAAACUGGGAGACUUGAGUACAGAAGAGGAGAGUGGAAUUCCACGUGUAGCGGUGAAAUGCGUAGAUAUGUGGAGGAACACCAGUGGCGAAGGCGACUCUCUGGUCUGUAACUGACGCUGAGGCGCGAAAGCGUGGGGAGCAAACAGGAUUAGAUACCCUGGUAGUCCACGCCGUAAACGAUGAGUGCUAGGUGUUAGGGGUUUCGAUGCCCUUAGUGCCGAAGUUAACACAUUAAGCACUCCGCCUGGGGGAGUACGACNCGCAAGGUUGAAACUCAAAAGGAAUUGACGGGGGGCCCGCACAAAGCAGUG